Molecule: ribosomal RNA, 404 nt
Filed under: uncultured bacterium
Lineage: Bacteria
Description: partial 16S ribosomal RNA
Rfam family: Bacterial small subunit ribosomal RNA
Source: RNAcentral
GACGAACGCUGGCGGCGUGCUUAACACAUGCAAGUCGAGCGGAGCGGCGAACGGGUGAGUAACGCGUGAGUAACUGCCCCCCUCUCAGGGCUCACAGUUGGCAACGGCUGCUAAUACCGGAUAGUGGGGGAUGACUCGCGUCCUAUCAGCUUGGUGGUGGGGUAGUGGCCUACCAAGGCGACGACGGGUAGCCGGCCUGAGAGGGCGACCGGCCACAUUGGGCUGAGAUACGGCCCAAACUCCUACGGGAGGCAGCAGUGGGGAAUAUUGCACAAUGGGGGAAACCCUGAUGCAGCAACGCGCGUGCGGGAUGACGGCCUUCGGGUUGUAAACCGCUUUCAGCCAUGACGCGGUAGUGGCAGAAGAAGCACCGGCUAACUACGUGCCAGCAGCCGCGGUAAUAC